UGCCAGACUCCUACGGGAGGCAGCAGUGGGGAAUAUUGGGCAAUGGGCGCAAGCCUGACCCAGCAACGCCGCGUGAAGGAAGAAGGCCCUCGGGUUGUAAACUUCUUUUAACAGGGACGAAGAAAGUGACGGUACCUGUUGAAUAAGCCACGGCUAACUACGUGCCAGCAGCCGCGGUAAUACGUAGGUGGCAAGCGUUAUCCGGAUUUACUGGGUGUAAAGGGCGUGUAGGCGGGAGAGCAAGUCAGACGUGAAAUUCCAGGGCUCAACCCUGGAACUGCGUUUGAAACUGUUGGUCUUGAGUAUCGGAGAGGCAGGCGGAAUUCCUAGUGUAGCGGUGAAAUGCGUAGAUAUUAGGAGGAACACCAGUGGCGAAGGCGGCCUGCUGGACGACAACUGACGGUGAGGCGCGAAAGCGUGGGGAGCAAACAGGAUUAGAUACCCUAGUA
This 449-nucleotide ribosomal RNA is filed under the name uncultured bacterium. RNAcentral's name for it is "bacterial SSU rRNA". It matches the Rfam family "Bacterial small subunit ribosomal RNA", at positions 329 to 792 of the family's 1533-position model. The record is from RNAcentral.